GACGGACGGUGGUGGUGCGUGGGACCCUACACCCAACCGCUCUGUGCUCGUUCGUCCACAUUCGCCCCGCGUGGCACGGAGGGACACCCGCAGAGUCAUCCAUCCGUGAAGGCCUCGCCAGAUCCGAGCUUGGCUCCGAGGCGACGAGGGCGAACCUCCCACCCGGUCUCCUUGUCGCCACCCCUACAGCCACCACGGUACGGGAUCUGGGCUUCGUGGGUGAGACGAGAGAGGUGGGGCCAUCCCA
Molecule: long non-coding RNA, 247 nt
Filed under: Elaeis guineensis (African oil palm)
Lineage: Eukaryota; Viridiplantae; Streptophyta; Magnoliopsida; Arecales; Arecaceae
Description: long non-coding RNA (EGUI_LNC028271)
Source: RNAcentral